RNAcentral lists this ribosomal RNA (504 nucleotides) under Dongia sp. Its description in RNAcentral is "bacterial SSU rRNA". It matches the Rfam family "Bacterial small subunit ribosomal RNA", at positions 206 to 730 of the family's 1533-position model. Lineage: Bacteria; Pseudomonadati; Pseudomonadota; Alphaproteobacteria; Rhodospirillales; Dongiaceae. The record is from RNAcentral.
GAUUUAUCGCCUUUGGAGGGGCCCGCGUCAGAUUAGGUAGUUGGUGGGGUAAUGGCCUACCAAGCCUUCGAUCUGUAGCUGGUCUUAGAGGAUGAUCAGCCACACUGGGACUGAGAUACGGCCCAGACUCCUACGGGAGGCAGCAGUGGGGAAUAUUGGACAAUGGGGGCAACCCUGAUCCAGCAAUGCCGCGUGAGUGAUGAAGGCCUUCGGGUUGUAAAGCUCUUUUGCCAGGGACGAUAAUGACGGUACCUGGAGAAUAAGCCCCGGCUAACUUCGUGCCAGCAGCCGCGGUAAUACGAAGGGGGCUAGCGUUGUUCGGAAUUACUGGGCGUAAAGGGCGCGUAGGCGGUCUGAUAAGUUAGGUGUGAAAUUCCCGGGCUUAACCUGGGCGCUGCACUUAAUACUGUCGGGCUUGAAUCCGGGAGAGGAUAGCGGAAUUCCCAGUGUAGAGGUGAAAUUCGUAGAUAUUGGGAAGAACACCAGUGGCGAAGGCGGCUAUCU